RNA transcript from Pan troglodytes (chimpanzee), 2746 nucleotides. It is a transcript of the gene named macoilin 1, with no coding region annotated. Lineage: Eukaryota; Metazoa; Chordata; Mammalia; Primates; Hominidae. The transcript has 12 exons. The record is from RefSeq and is marked provisional.
GUCUGUGUGCGUGUGGGGUUUGCUUUGUCAUUCGUACCCCCGGUGCGCGCUGACGCGGCCGGCCUGGCCGAGCUCUCCAGCAUCCGCAGACGGGUCCCCGGCGCUGUUCCUGGGAUGCUCCCUUACAUAAUGACGCGACUGGCUGAAGCGCACGUCAGCGCAGACACCGCACAUGCCGCAAACCCGGGCCUUCCGAUUUCAUGCAUUGCUAGACGAGAGCCUACAAUACCAUGCCGUACGGCGGAGGAGGCUCUGAGCCCCCCCUCCCCGUGCUACCCCCUCCCCCCGGGUGCUGGCUCCAUGUCUGUGUGACCGGCCUCAGGGGUAGAGUCCAGGCCCGACGCGGGGCGGGCCAGCGGCGGCGGCAGCUGAGGUGAGAGACGGCGGCGGCGGCGCGGGCACCCGGCCCCCCAGCGGGAGGAUGAAGCGGCGGAACGCCGACUGCAGUAAGCUCCGCCGCCCCCUAAAGCGGAACCGGAUCACCGAGGGCAUUUACGGCAGUACAUUUUUAUACCUGAAAUUCCUGGUGGUGUGGGCACUUGUCCUCCUAGCAGAUUUUGUCCUGGAGUUCAGAUUUGAAUACCUGUGGCCAUUCUGGCUUUUCAUCAGAAGCGUCUAUGAUUCCUUCAGAUACCAGGGACUGGCCUUCUCAGUAUUUUUUGUUUGUGUAGCAUUCACGUCAAAUAUAAUAUGCCUGCUGUUCAUCCCCAUACAGUGGCUUUUUUUUGCUGCUAGCACAUAUGUAUGGGUUCAGUACGUAUGGCACACAGAAAGGGGAGUGUGUUUGCCUACAGUGUCUCUCUGGAUCCUCUUUGUUUAUAUUGAAGCAGCCAUUAGAUUUAAAGAUCUCAAAAACUUUCAUGUAGACCUUUGUCGUCCAUUUGCUGCUCACUGUAUUGGGUACCCUGUGGUAACUUUGGGCUUUGGCUUCAAAAGUUACGUAAGCUACAAAAUGCGGUUAAGGAAGCAAAAAGAAGUACAAAAAGAGAACGAGUUUUACAUGCAACUUCUUCAACAAGCUCUCCCUCCAGAGCAACAGAUGCUACAGAAGCAAGAAAAAGAGGCCGAGGAAGCAGCCAAAGGAUUACCUGAUAUGGAUUCUUCGAUCCUUAUACACCACAAUGGAGGUAUCCCAGCCAACAAAAAACUCUCCACAACUUUGCCAGAGAUAGAAUACCGAGAAAAAGGGAAAGAAAAGGACAAGGAUGCCAAAAAACACAACCUUGGAAUAAAUAACAACAAUAUUCUACAACCUGUAGACUCUAAAAUACAAGAGAUUGAGUAUAUGGAAAACCAUAUCAAUAGUAAAAGAUUAAAUAAUGAUCUUGUGGGAAGUACAGAAAAUCUCUUGAAAGAGGACUCAUGCACUGCUUCCUCAAAAAAUUACAAAAAUGCCAGUGGAGUUGUGAACUCUUCACCUCGAAGUCAUAGCGCCACAAAUGGGAGCAUUCCUUCCUCAUCUAGUAAAAAUGAGAAGAAGCAGAAAUGCACUAGCAAGAGCCCAAGUACACACAAGGACUUAAUGGAAAACUGUAUUCCUAAUAACCAGCUAAGCAAACCAGACGCACUGGUCAGGCUGGAACAAGACAUUAAAAAGUUAAAGGCUGACCUGCAAGCCAGCAGACAAGUGGAACAAGAGCUCCGCAGUCAGAUCAGCUCCCUUUCGAGCACCGAGCGAGGGAUCCGCUCAGAAAUGGGCCAGCUUCGGCAGGAGAACGAGCUGCUACAGAACAAGUUACAUAAUGCUGUGCAAAUGAAGCAAAAAGACAAGCAGAAUAUCAGCCAGUUGGAGAAAAAGCUAAAAGCUGAGCAGGAAGCCCGAAGUUUUGUAGAGAAACAGUUAAUGGAAGAGAAAAAGAGGAAGAAGUUAGAAGAAGCCACUGCUGCCCGUGCUGUUGCGUUUGCUGCUGCAUCUAGGGGAGAAUGCACCGAAACCUUACGGAAUCGGAUCAGAGAACUAGAAGCAGAGGGCAAGAAGCUCACGAUGGACAUGAAGGUGAAAGAAGACCAAAUCAGAGAACUAGAACUAAAAGUCCAGGCUAAUUUAUAGACAUCGAUGCCAAAACUACCUUGUAGCAUUGCUGUUUUGAUGAUAUUGAUAGGAGCUUCGGAAAUAUAAGGAAAAUGAGAAGGACACUGAGGUGUUAAUGUCAGCCCUCUCAGCCAUGCAAGACAAAACACAGCACCUGGAGAACAGCUUAAGCGCAGAGACGAGAAUUAAGCUGGACCUGUUCUCCGCACUGGGCGAUGCAAAGCGGCAGCUCGAGAUUGCCCAAGGACAAAUCCUUCAGAAAGAUCAGGAAAUCAAGGACCUAAAACAGAAGAUAGCCGAAGUCAUGGCCGUCAUGCCCAGCAUAACAUACAGUGCCGCCACCAGCCCCCUGAGCCCUGUUUCCCCCCACUACUCUUCCAAAUUUGUGGAGACCAGCCCCUCUGGACUUGACCCCAAUGCCUCUGUUUACCAGCCCCUGAAGAAAUGAAGGCCAGCUGUGUGUUGUGCCCAAAAAUUUGGUUACCGGAAGGCAUUGCAAAGGAGCGUCUCUGGCAGUCAAGAUAAAAAAACAGUUUCUAUUGUAUUUUGUGGCACUGUAUCUGUUGUCAUUUUUAAAAAGGGGGGAAAAGAUAACAUCCAAGUCUGAUUAGAACUGCCCAUCAGUUUUUCUUGUAAAUUUUUAGAAGACCUCACAGAACUUUACAGUUUAUUUUUCUCGGCCAACACAUUAAAACCAUUCUUGGAUUUCAAGUA